This 1266-nucleotide ribosomal RNA is filed under the name Triticum aestivum (bread wheat). RNAcentral's name for it is "partial small subunit ribosomal RNA". The record is from RNAcentral. Lineage: Eukaryota; Viridiplantae; Streptophyta; Magnoliopsida; Poales; Poaceae.
AUGGAGGAUCUGGUUCCUGCCAAGGCAUUCUAUUCGGCUGCAGCUGUUGGCAUGGAGCCGGAUCACAGAGGCCUGAUGGCGAUCGUGCGCGAAGAGCCACCGCCAUCGGAGGAGCCGAUGGACCUGCUGUCGAGCGCGUGGUGCAGCUCGGCGAUCCAAGUUCUUCAGACGGGUCCGAAGGAGGAGGAUCGCUCGCUAGCGCUGGUGGAGCACCCUGUCAUUGGGCUUGACGAUGAUAGGAGAGACCUGUCGCAGCUGCAGAGGAAUGAUCGUAGCUUGGUUGUUGACGACAGCGGCUUCGGUGGCACGACGCAACCGCAAUGGAAAUACGACGAUCUGAAGUCAUGGAUAUGGCUGCAGAAGGCCAUUCACCCGGAGCUGGACUACGACAACAAGAAGAAAUGGCUCCCGCGCAAGAUGUCGGCGCCGUGGAGCGGCAUCUCGCUCAAGAAGUGGGUCAAGGAGCGGAAGCAGAAGCGCAAGGAGGAGGCGCGGCUGCACAGGGCCGAGGUCCACGCCGCGGUGUCCGUCGCGGGCGUCGCGGCCGUGCUCGCCGCCAUCGCCGCGGAGAACUCCGCGCCCGCGGCGCGCGGCUCGGCGUCGGCGUCGAUGAGGGAGACGGCGGUGGCCUCGGCCGCCGCGCUCGUGGCGGCGCAGUGCGCCAAGGUGGCCGAGGCCGCGGGCGCCACGCGGGACCAGGUCGCCGCGGCAGUCAACGCCGCCGUGGCCGCCACCGACGCCAGCAACGUGAUCACGCUCACCGCCGCCGCCGCCACCUCACUGCGGGGCGCGGCGGCGCUGCGAGGGAGGCGCGGCGGCAGCGGCGGCCAUGGGCAGAGCGAGAGGGCGGACCAGGGUGGCACGGCGCCGUGGCAGGACGACCUGGACUUCGACUUCAACUACGCGAGGUCCAAGGCGGCGCUGGCCAAGGGCGACGAGCUGUUCGUCGCGAUGCCUGACGGCAAGUGGAAGCUGCACACGGUGUCCGCGGCCACGGACAGGAACGGCAAGGUCGUCCUCCGGAUCAAGAAGAUGAACUUGGUCAUGCAGGCCUUCUCCAACACCAAAGAAUGCGUGGUGGAGGACGUCCGGCCGUGCGCGCCGGAGAAGGCGAGCCGGGAGGGGGACGCGACGUACCCGGUGGAGGUGAGGACGAGCAGGGGCAAGGUGGAGCUCCGCGCCGACGACUACGCCGUGUACAAGAGGUGGGUCACCACCGUGACGCACAUGCUCACCUCCUCCACCGCCAUCACCAUGCGCAAUUAA